CCGCCCAUAGCUCAGUCGGUAGAGCAGCUCCCUUUUAAGGAGAUGGUCCCAAGUUCGAUUCUUGGUGGGCGGACAA
This 76-nucleotide transfer RNA is filed under the name Candidatus Taylorbacteria bacterium CG10_big_fil_rev_8_21_14_0_10_41_48. Its description in RNAcentral is "tRNA-Lys". It matches the Rfam family "tRNA". From Rfam's summary of the family: Transfer RNA (tRNA) molecules are approximately 80 nucleotides in length. Their secondary structure includes four short double-helical elements and three loops (D, anti-codon, and T loops). Further hydrogen bonds mediate the characteristic L-shaped molecular structure. tRNAs have two regions of fundamental functional importance: the anti-codon, which is responsible for specific mRNA codon recognition, and the 3' end, to which the tRNAs corresponding amino acid is attached (by aminoacyl-tRNA synthetases). tRNAs cope with the degeneracy of the genetic code in two manners: having more than one tRNA (with a specific anti-codon) for a particular amino acid; and 'wobble' base-pairing, i.e. permitting non-standard base-pairing at the 3rd anti-codon position. Lineage: Bacteria; Candidatus Tayloriibacteriota. The record is from RNAcentral.